CGACCCGAAUUCGCGCUG
This 18-nucleotide unclassified non-coding RNA is filed under the name Chlamydomonas reinhardtii. RNAcentral's name for it is "small RNA Cre_1195". Lineage: Eukaryota; Viridiplantae; Chlorophyta; Chlorophyceae; Chlamydomonadales; Chlamydomonadaceae. The record is from RNAcentral.